RNAcentral lists this ribosomal RNA (450 nucleotides) under uncultured bacterium. RNAcentral's name for it is "partial 16S ribosomal RNA". It matches the Rfam family "Bacterial small subunit ribosomal RNA", at positions 354 to 796 of the family's 1533-position model. The record is from RNAcentral.
GUGGGGAAUCUUCCGCAAUGGACGAAAGUCUGACGGAGCAACGCCGCGUGAGUGAAGAAGGUUUUCGGAUCGUAAAGCUCUUUCGUUAGGGACGAACGUGCUCUUUGUGAAUAAUGAGGAGUAAUGACGGUACCUAAAUAAGAAGCCACGGCUAACUACGUGCCAGCAGCCGCGGUAAUACGUAGGUGGCAAGCGUUGUCCGGCAUUAUUGGGCGUAAAGCGCGCGCAGGCGGGAUAUCAAGUCUGUCUUAAAAGUGCGAGGCUCAACCUCGUGAGGGGACAGAAACUGGUAUUCUUGAGUGUCGGAGAGGAAAGUGGAAUUCCAAGUGUAGCGGUGAAAUGCGUAGAGAUUUGGAAGAACACCAGUGGCGAAGGCGACUUUCUGGACGAUGUCUGACGCUGAGGCGCGAAAGCUAGGGGAGCGAACGGGAUUAGAUACCCUGGUAGUCC